GACGAGCCUCACAAACGUUAUUCGGAAUUACUGGGCUUAAAGGGUGCGUAGGCGGCGCGGAAAGUUGGGUGUGAAAUCCCUCGGCUCAACCGAGGAAUUGCGCUCAAAACUACCGUGCUCGAGGGAGAUAGAGGAGUGCGGAACUUAGGGUGGAGCGGUGAAAUGCGUUGAUAUCCUAGGGAACACCGGUGGCGAAAGCGGCACUCUGGAUCUCUUCUGACGCUGAUGCACGAAAGCUAGGGUAGCAAAC
RNAcentral lists this ribosomal RNA (250 nucleotides) under uncultured bacterium. RNAcentral describes it as "partial 16S ribosomal RNA". It matches the Rfam family "Bacterial small subunit ribosomal RNA", at positions 524 to 773 of the family's 1533-position model. The record is from RNAcentral.